GAUGAACGCUGGCGGCGUGCUUAACACAUGCAAGUCGAACGAUGAAGCCCAGCUUGCUGGGUGGAUUAGUGGCGAACGGGUGAGUAACACGUGAGUAACCUGCCCUUAACUCUGGGAUAAGCCUGGGAAACUGGGUCUAAUACCGGAUAGGAGCGUCCACCGCAUGGUGGGUGUUGGAAAGAUUUAUCGGUUUUGGAUGGACUCGCGGCCUAUCAGCUUGUUGGUGAGGUAAUGGCUCACCAAGGCGACGACGGGUAGCCGGCCUGAGAGGGUGACCGGCCACACUGGGACUGAGACACGGCCCAGACUCCUACGGGAGGCAGCAGUGGGGAAUAUUGCACGAUGGGCGCAAGCCUGAUGCAGCGACGCCGCGUGAGGGAUGACGGCCUUCGGGUUGUAAACCUCUUUCAGUAGGGAAGAAGCGAAAGUGACGGUACCUGCAGAAGAAGCACCGGCUAACUACGUG
Molecule: ribosomal RNA, 466 nt
Filed under: uncultured bacterium
Lineage: Bacteria
Description: partial 16S ribosomal RNA
Rfam family: Bacterial small subunit ribosomal RNA
Source: RNAcentral